This is a long non-coding RNA of Pan troglodytes (chimpanzee), 541 nucleotides long. RefSeq lists it as uncharacterized. The transcript is spliced from 3 exons. The record is from RefSeq and is a predicted model, not a curated record. Lineage: Eukaryota; Metazoa; Chordata; Mammalia; Primates; Hominidae.
UACAUCUGUCCUCUCUUCCCUCCCCUCACGUCAGUUCCCAGCACAGACUGUGUAGAAGAGUGAGUCUAACUAGCUCUCCUACUUGAGAUAAAAUAAUGAGAUGCUACAUCGUAGGAUCUGUCUCUGAGUCCACAUUGCGGGAGAAAAGACCAUUCUUCGGAAAGAUGCAGAGGAAGCCCCGUACCUCCCUCAAGGGAUUGAGAUGGGAGACUGAGGGAAUCCUGGGGUCUCUGCCCUCUCCCUCACUGGGAAACAAGCUCUGUUUCUUCAUGUGCCGGAGCCCUGCCUCUGUGGGUGCAGCCUGAGGACAAAGGCAGUGCUGCAUCCCCUGAUCCCCUACCCCCUACAACCUCCUGCCCAGCCUCUCGGGUGCUCCUCAGCUUGUCAUCAGGGAGGAAGCAGCCAUCUCCUGCGAUGACUGACUUCAAGCCUCAACUUUCCCACAGCUUCUCAAAAGCCAAGGCUGAGGCCAAGUUCUAGCUGCUGCCUUGGGACAGGUCAAGGGCCUCCUGCAAUCUCAUGCAUAAACUGGUACCCAUGA